This is a non-coding RNA of Pteropus alecto (black flying fox), 116 nucleotides long. NCBI's taxonomy places the organism in Eukaryota, Metazoa, Chordata, Mammalia, Chiroptera, Pteropodidae. The record is from Rfam.
GUCUAGAGCCAUGCCACCCUGAACAAGACCGAUGUCUGAUCUUGGAAGCUAAGCAGGUUUGGGCCUGGUUAGUACUUGGAUGGGAGACCACCCAGGAAGACCAGGUCCUGUAGGCG